RNAcentral lists this ribosomal RNA (496 nucleotides) under uncultured bacterium. RNAcentral describes it as "partial 16S ribosomal RNA". It matches the Rfam family "Bacterial small subunit ribosomal RNA", at positions 29 to 507 of the family's 1533-position model. The record is from RNAcentral.
AUGAACGCUGGCGGCGUGCCUAAUACAUGCAAGUCGCGCGAACGGACGAGAAGCUUGCUUUUCUGAUGUUAGCGGCGGACGGGUGAGUAACACGUGGAUAACCUACCUAUAAGACUGGGAUAACUUCGGGAAACAGGAGCUAAUACCGGAUAAUAUUUUGAACCGCAUGGUUCAAAAGUGAAAGACGGUCUUGCUGUCACUUAUAGAUGGAUCCGCGCUGCAUUAGCUAGUUGGUAAGGUAACGGCUUACCAAGGCAACGAUGCAUAGCCGACCUGAGAGGGUGAUCGGCCACACUGGAACUGAGACACGGUCCAGACUCCUACGGGAGGCAGCAGUAGGGAAUCUUCCGCAAUGGGCGAAAGCCUGACGGAGCAACGCCGCGUGAGUGAUGAAGGUCUUCGGAUCGUAAAACUCUGUUAUUAGGGAAGAACAUAUGUGUAAGUAACUGUGCACAUCUUGACGGUACCUAAUCAGAAAGCCACGGCUAACUACGUG